This 256-nucleotide ribosomal RNA is filed under the name uncultured bacterium. RNAcentral's name for it is "partial 16S ribosomal RNA". It matches the Rfam family "Bacterial small subunit ribosomal RNA", at positions 98 to 354 of the family's 1533-position model. The record is from RNAcentral.
CGGGACGGGUGAGUAACGCGUGGGUAACCUGCCUUACACAGGGGGAUAACACUUAGAAAUAGGUGCUAAUACCGCAUAAGCGCACAGCUUCGCAUGAAGCAGUGUGAAAAACUCCGGUGGUAUACGAUGGAUCCGCGUCUGAUUAGCUGGUUGGCGGGGUAAAGGCCCACCAAGGCGACGAUCAGUAGCCGGCCUGAGAGGGUGAACGGCCACAUUGGGACUGAGACACGGCCCAAACUCCUACGGAAGGCAGCAG